GGCGCGGGGAAGCCGAACGAGAAAAUUGCGCGGGGAGACAGGAAUUGAUUGGUGCCCGCACAAGUGGGCGAAGUCAGUCCACACUGAUCGAACACCCGGGAUGUGCAGCCUCUGUGCGAAGCCCGGGUGUGGGAGUGUUGCAGCGAGGGGGUGGGGGUGGCGGUGGGGCAGAAGGUUCCAGAAGCCCAAGCUGGCCGGCCUCACAGGAGGGGAGUGGGGGAUGAAUGGUCUGCGUCCCUGCCCCAACCGAGCGGCCCCACCCCUACUUGGGUUUCUGGGGAGGGAGAAGAGAGGGAGAUUAAUUCUCAGGUUCCGGGGUAUCUCCCUCCCCUGUGCUCCUGGCUCCGCCACGUUUUUCUCUGUGACCUUCGGGCUCGAGGCCAGAGGUCUGUCCCCCACACCCUUAGCCUCAGGGACAGGUGGGGAAUAGGACAGCAGGGAGCCCGUAGUCGGUGGCCACAGACCGCGGCAGAGAAGAGGAAAGGUAUUUUGAGGUCACCUCAUUUUUUUCUGUCAGUCACUUUGCUUUAUUGCCUGGAUCUUCAGCUGUAAUUACUGGGAAACGCAAACCCGAUGCCCACCAGAUUUAAUCAGGAGAGCUGGCUUAUAGAUUGAUACAACUUAAUAGAUUUAUUAGGGGCUGUGCAGGCCCCAUGGGGAGUAGGCCGAGUGAGGCCUGCCUGCCUGCUGUGUUCGGAGGGAGGAAAGAGUGAAAGCCAGGAGGUGGGGGGAGGGGGAGCCGGGGUGAGGGGAGAGAGAGGGAGAGACACAGGAGGACCCGGACGGGGAUGGAGGAGCGGGGGCUGGGGCAGGCAGAGAGGAAGGGGGCCCAAGGCUCUGGAACCUGUCUGGCCCCGCUCACUGUUCAACUUUGCUGAGCUGCAAGGUGUUCAUCUGUGAAAUGGGCAUAAGGAACGCCUCCCCUGCAGUGAGUGUGUGUGUGUGUGUGUGUGUGUGUGUGUGUGUGAAACAGCUGGGCGCGGCAGCCUCCGGGGCCCGUGUGGCCACGGAGCGCUUGAACUGGGGCCUGCGGUGGGGAACCGGAUGGUAAAGGGACUUGGGUCCAGGCGCCAGCGCGCAGGGUCUAGGAGUCCUCGGAUCCCCAGAGAGUGCACGUCCGCCCCGUUGCAGCAGAUCGGAAAGGCCCUGGCUCUCCUGUCCUCUUGACGGCAUCUGACGCUUUCCUUGGCGACCUGGUCCGAGGCCGCAGCCUUCCCAACCUUAGAAACACGGAAAACUCUUGCGUCCGAAGCAGGGCUCCCCAAGGGCAGCGCCAGCUCUGAGGGGCUGCUGGGGGGUCCCUGAAGGAGACGGCGGUCUCUUUCUCCCAGGCCUCGCUAAGCCUGUUGGACGGCCACCCCAGCUCAGCUUCCUGCAGCGUGGAUUAGCUUCUGCACCGGCACCUGUGCCUCUGAGCGUGCCUUCCUGCGAGCACUGGCUCUCCAGACGCUUCCGUAAACAGCUGGUGUCCAAAUCUCGACAGCCGGGUCUGAUUACCGCUCCGUCGCCAGCGUUACUCUUACGCUUACCCCAUUCCGUGAGAACACAGGAGACCCGGAGGGGCAGCGCCCCUCCGUCGGGACAGGGGCCCGCUCCGAGCCCGGCACAGCGCGUUGGCUCCAGGGGGGCAGUGCGGAGGGCAGACGUCCUUACGGGGCGGCGGGGGAGAAGUUGCCUCCACGAGAUAGCAGGGACGGGGGCCACCUGGUCCAAAGGCCUGAAAUAACCCUCCUCUUCUAACUUGUGAGCUGAGGCCACACUCGGUCUCCCGGAAAGGGAAGGCUGGGUGUGGACGUGGACGUUCAGCAAACGGGCAAGCGGAGGCAGAGGGAGACGACGCGCUCUGACCGGGGUCCCACGGCUGGGUAGGGGUGACGUGAGAGGGGGGCACAAGCUGCGCUGGGCUCUCUGUCUUUGAGCUCACGCUUCCUGGGAGUAGGUGCAUCUGGGAAAGACGACCGGAGGCCGUGUCCACGGAAGUCGGCACGGGGCGGGAAGAGUCCAAACACGUGGCUCCCGCAGGUCGAGAUCCGUGACCUAGAAGGUUAAUGAUCAAGAAGCCCAGUCGCUGUCGUCGUCGCAGACAGAGGUCACUACUACAGCUGUGUGUCCAGCACGCCUCCCCACACCCCUGCUCUGGCUACGGUGCCACUGAUUUCUCUGGGGGCCCUUCUACCCACUCCUUGAGGGCGGAGGGGGCUGUCGGUCCCAGAAAACCCCUCAUCACGGGCCUGGCCACUUUUUGUACCCGGCCACAGUGACUGAGCCAAGAGCCCCUGGAGAGAGACGUUUCCUUCCUUCCUUCCAGAAUCCGAAGCAGGCUCCGGGCUCCGAGCUGUCCGCACAGAGCCCGACGCGGGGCUCGAACCCACGAGCCAGGAGAUCGUGCCCCGAGCCGAAGUCGGACGCUCAACCCGCCCCGAGAGACCUCUCUCUCUGCUGGGCUUGUUUGGGAAGAUGUGAGUCUGGGGCAUUCAGAGGCCAUCUUCCUCACCGCAUGGGGAGACCCAGUCGGCCGAAUGAAGCCACACAGAGUGGAGAUCGUUUGAGAGAGACACAGAAAGCGACAGAGAGAGAGGCAUUCGUCCAUUAGGUAAAUUGGGGUUGGCUUUCCACCAUUUGGGAUGAAAAAAAGCUCCUCAUUCCGUU
Long non-coding RNA from Felis catus (domestic cat), 2649 nucleotides. RefSeq lists it as uncharacterized. NCBI's taxonomy places the organism in Eukaryota, Metazoa, Chordata, Mammalia, Carnivora, Felidae. The transcript is spliced from 2 exons. The record is from RefSeq and is a predicted model, not a curated record.